ACCUGCUAAAUAGUCCAAUUGACUUUGGUCGGUUGUUGGCUUCUUAGAGGGACUUUUGGCUCAAGCCAAUGGAAGUACGAGGCAAUAACAGGUCUGUGAUGCCCUUAGAUGUUCUGGGCCGCACGCGCGCUACACUGACAGAGCCAGCGAGUACAUCACCUUAACCGAAAGGU
RNAcentral lists this ribosomal RNA (173 nucleotides) under Chaetothyriales sp. RNAcentral's name for it is "partial small subunit ribosomal RNA". It matches the Rfam family "Eukaryotic small subunit ribosomal RNA", at positions 1346 to 1541 of the family's 1831-position model. Lineage: Eukaryota; Fungi; Ascomycota; Eurotiomycetes; Chaetothyriales. The record is from RNAcentral.